AAGCGGAGUGAUCUACCCAUGGCCAGGUUGAAGCGCCGGUAAGACGGCGUGGAGGACCGAACCCACUUAGGUUGAAAACUGAGGGGAUGAGCUGUGGGUAGGGGUGAAAGGCCAAUCAAACUCCGUGAUAGCUGGUUCUCCCCGAAAUGCAUUUAGGUGCAGCGUUGCGUGUUUCUUGCCGGAGGUAGAGCUACUGGAUGGCUGAUGGGCCUCACCAGGUUACUGACGUCAGCUAAACUCCGAAUGCCGGUAAGUGAGAGCGUGGCAGUGAGACUGCGGGGGAUAAGCUCCGUAGUCGAGAGGGAAACAGCCCAGAUCACCAGCUAAGGUCCCUAAGCGUGUGCUAAGUGGAAAAGGAUGUGGAGUUGCAGUGACAACCAGGAGGUUGGCUUAGAAGCAGCCACCCUUUAAAGAGUGCGUAAUAGCUCACUGGUCAAGUGAUUCCGCGCCGACAAUGUAGCGGG
This 464-nucleotide ribosomal RNA is filed under the name uncultured bacterium. Its description in RNAcentral is "bacterial LSU rRNA". It matches the Rfam family "Bacterial large subunit ribosomal RNA", at positions 718 to 1179 of the family's 2925-position model. The record is from RNAcentral.